Molecule: ribosomal RNA, 417 nt
Filed under: uncultured bacterium
Lineage: Bacteria
Description: bacterial SSU rRNA
Rfam family: Bacterial small subunit ribosomal RNA
Source: RNAcentral
GGAAUAUUGGUCAAUGGACGAAAGUCUGAACCAGCCAUGCCGCGUGGAGGAUGAAGGCCCUCUGGGUUGUAAACUUUUUUUAUAUGGGACGCAAAAGGACCUUUCUAGGUCAACUGACGGUACCAUUUGAAUAAGCGCCGGCUAACUCCGUGCCAGCAGCCGCGGUAAUACGGAGGGUGCAAGCGUUAUCCGGAUUCACUGGGUUUAAAGGGUGCGUAGGUGGGUUGGUAAGUCAGUGGUGAAAUCCCCGAGCUUAACUUGGGAACUGCCAUUGAUACUAUUAAUCUUGAAUAUUGUGGAGGUCAGCGGAAUAUGUCAUGUAGCGGUGAAAUGCUUAGAGAUGACAUAGAACACCAAUUGCGAAGGCAGCUGGCUACGCAUAUAUUGACACUGAGGCACGAAAGCGUGGGGAUCAAA